AGGGGGAUACGCUCUGCAAUGGGAUGGGAUCCGAAGCCGCCUCGAGGGAUAAUACAGGCUCUCCCAUCCAACUCCUAUUCCGACACGUCCUCGUCGUGCAGAGUGGUAACGUGUGUCAUCACAUAUCCAAACUUGGGUACACGGGCUUGACCAAGGGGUUGCCCUUGGGCGGAUGGUGGCAUAUGGCAAACCAGGAGGGG
This is a non-coding RNA of Anopheles gambiae str. PEST, 200 nucleotides long. It matches the Rfam family "drz-agam-2-2 ribozyme". Lineage: Eukaryota; Metazoa; Arthropoda; Insecta; Diptera; Culicidae. The record is from Rfam.